CCUACGGGUGGCAGCAGUGGGGAAUAUUGCACAAUGGGGGAAACCCUGAUGCAGCGACGCCGCGUGAGUGAAGAAGUAAUUCGUUACGUAAAGCUCUAUCAGCAGGGAAGAAAAUGACGGUACCUGAGUAAGAAGCCCCGGCUAACUACGUGCCAGCAGCCGCGGUAAUACGUAGGGGGCAAGCGUUAUCCGGAUUUACUGGGUGGAAAGGGAGCGUAGACGGUGCGCCAAGUCUGGAGGGAAAUGCCGCAGCUUAACUGCGGAACUGCUUUGGAAAAUUGCGAACUAGAGUGCGGGAGGGGUAAGCGGAAUUCCGCGUGUAGCGGUGAAAUGCGUAGUGAUUAGGAGGAACACCGGUGGCGAAGGCGGCUUACUGGACCGUAACUGACGUUGAGGCUCGAAAGCGUGGGGAGCAAACAGGAUUAGAUACCCGGGUAGUC
Molecule: ribosomal RNA, 440 nt
Filed under: uncultured bacterium
Lineage: Bacteria
Description: partial 16S ribosomal RNA
Rfam family: Bacterial small subunit ribosomal RNA
Source: RNAcentral